Molecule: transfer RNA, 72 nt
Filed under: Cyanobacteria bacterium UBA8553
Lineage: Bacteria; Bacillati; Cyanobacteriota
Also listed under: 1 other name
Description: tRNA-Thr
Rfam family: tRNA
About the family: Transfer RNA (tRNA) molecules are approximately 80 nucleotides in length. Their secondary structure includes four short double-helical elements and three loops (D, anti-codon, and T loops).
Source: RNAcentral
GCAGAUGUGGUGUAACUGGCAACAUAAGGGCAUGGUAAGCCCUCGAUGUGGGUUCAAUCCCCGCCGUCUGCU